RNAcentral lists this small RNA (101 nucleotides) under Arabidopsis thaliana (thale cress). RNAcentral's name for it is "ATSL131370". The record is from RNAcentral. Lineage: Eukaryota; Viridiplantae; Streptophyta; Magnoliopsida; Brassicales; Brassicaceae.
AUUAAAAUUAAUAAAACAGUACGCACAGCCUAACGUAUUGUUUUGAAUGCGAUGCUCGCUGCUUUAUCUGAUUUAUGAACUUUUCCAAUUUUGUUAGGUUA